Molecule: non-coding RNA, 796 nt
Filed under: Athalia birmanica
Lineage: Eukaryota; Metazoa; Arthropoda; Insecta; Hymenoptera; Athaliidae
Source: RNAcentral
UUAAAGUUUGAUUUUAGCUUUAAUAUUUACUUUAAGAUUUUUUUUAAUGGAAAUUUUUGUGUGGUUUAAAAAGAUUUUUAAAAAAUUUUUUGAUUAGGGUUCAGUUUAUAAAAUUAUUAAUUAAAGAAAUUUAGAUUUAUAAAUUUUAAUAAUAUGGGUUAAAAUUGUGCCAGCAACUGCGGUUAUACAAUUUAUGUAAGUAAAUAAGAUUUAAGUAUAAAUUUAUUUUAAAUAAAAUAUUAUAUAAUUAAAUAAUAAUAAAUUAAGUGAAAUUUUUUUUUAUAAGAAAAUAUAUUUUAACUUAAAUAAUUUUAUGAAAUUUUAAAAAUAAACUAGGAUUAGAUACCCUAUUAUUUAAAAUUUAAAGUAAAAAUUUAAAAGAUUAAUAGUUAAGUUCUUUAAAUUUAAAAAAAUUGGCGGUGUUUAAAACUAAUUAGGGGAACUUGUUUUUUAAAUGAUAAUCCGCAUGAUACCUUACUUUAAUUAAUUUAAUUUAUUUACUGCCGUUAUCAGAUUAUUUUUUAAAAAGUUAAAUUUUCUUAAUUAUUUAAAAUUAAAAAUAAUUAUUUCAGGUCAUGGUGUAGUUUAUGUUAAAGUAAAAAUGAGUUACAAUAAAAUUUAUUUAUUUAUGGAUAUUUUAUUGAAAUAUAAAAUUGAAAGUGGACUUAAUAGUAAAUUAAAAUAUUACAUUUAUUUGAAUUUAGAAUUAAAUGUGUACAUAUUGCCCGUCGCUCUCGUUUUAAGAUGAGAUAAGUCGUAACAUAGUAGAGGUACUGGAAAGUGUUUCUAGAAUUUU